GGACUACAAGGGUUUCUAAUCCUUAUUGCUACCCAAGCCUUCGUCCCUCAACGUCAGUUUUUACAUAGAAGAACGCUUUCGCCGUUAUCAGUCCUCCUGGUAUAAAUGUAUUUUAUCACUACUCCAGGAAUUCUAUCUUCUCUCAUGAAACUCUAGCAAAUAAUACUCGUUAAAGAUUAAUUUUGCCGUCUAGGUACCCUUUAAACCUGUUAAAGAUGACUAACACUAGUCUUCUACGUAUUACCGCGGCGGCUGGCAC
Molecule: ribosomal RNA, 259 nt
Filed under: uncultured bacterium
Lineage: Bacteria
Description: partial 16S ribosomal RNA
Source: RNAcentral